Molecule: ribosomal RNA, 301 nt
Filed under: uncultured bacterium
Lineage: Bacteria
Description: partial 16S ribosomal RNA
Rfam family: Bacterial small subunit ribosomal RNA
Source: RNAcentral
CAGCAGCCGCGGUAAUACGGAGGGGGCUAGCGUUGUUCGGAAUUACUGGGCGUAAAGCGCACGUAGGCGGCUUGGUAAGUUAGAGGUGAAAGCCUGGAGCUCAACUCCAGAAUUGCCUUUAAGACUGCCGAGCUAGUAGGUGAGAGAGGUAAGUGGAAUUCCGAGUGUAGAGGUGAGAUUCGUAGAUAUUCGGAAGAACACCAGUGGCGAAGGCGGCUUACUGGCUCAUUCUAGACGCUGAGGUGCGAAAGCGUGGGGAGCAAACAGGAUUAGAGACCCCGGUAGUCCCUGUCUCUUAUAC